AUGGAUUGGUUUCAUUGCAAUCAGUGCUUCACCCAGAAAGGAUCUGACUUUUAUGCUGCUAGCUGUGGACACAUAUUUUGCAAAAAAUGUGUUGGCACAGAUAAAUGCUCAUUUUGUGGAACAAACUGCAAGUAUUUGCUUCUUAAUGAUAAAAUUCAAGGCAAAGAAAAAAAGUUUUUUACAAGUCCUAUUGAAACUGCACUCAAGUUUUUUGCCCAUAUUUCACAGGUAUGGACGUUUCAAAAAGGCCAGAUGGAGCUGUUGGCCUCUUUUUACAAACACCGGGCUUCCAAGGCCAAGGCUGCUCUUCAACAGGCUCAACAGAAGCUAACUACCCAGGAAAAGGAGCUGAAAGCUCUGCAGAAGGAAAACGAUGAACUAAAGAAGACUCUCAGCUGUUUAAAGCAUCAUUCUCCCCAGUAUCUCCAUGGUAGUAGAAACAGCACUCCAAGACCAGUUGCUGUCACACCUCCACUGCAGUCAGUUACACCAAGGCCCAGUUUCCGGCUCUCCAGUGAAGUGGUCAGCCGUUCUUCUUCUAUGGACUCCAUCUCCUCCAUGGUAGGUAGCCAUCUACAAAGCUGGCAUGUGAGUUGCCACUCCACUACAACCAUCACUGUUGCCAGAAAAGGAAGAGGGAGGAUGAGUGCCAUCCUUUGUUCCUUAUGGAGUUUUGGUGAGGCUCUUGUUUUUAUCCAGUAUGCUACAGGGGGCACCAGGAUGAAUGAUGGAAGGACAACCACAGCUAGCUCUAGAAAUGGUAAGAAAUAUUGGAGGCAUAAAGUGAAUUUCAGACAUGUUUACUUUUUUCAAAGAUUAUUUGAGACAACCUGCCAACACAGGGCCAAAACUAAUAGAAUAUUUGCCCCUCCUUGCCCCAGGAUUUCAAAUACAGCUUUCCUGGACCAAAACCCUGGCUUUCAAUCCAAGGAUCACACUGUGGCUUAUAAUGGAAUAGAAGUUUCUUGCUUCCAUAGAGAGGGAAAAAUGAUUCCAGCUGUCCAGUGGAUCAUCUUCCUCUCAUUUGUAUCCAGAAUUAGACAUCCUGCAUGAGAUACCAUGUGCCUUCUUCUCAUGUCUUUUUAAUUGACUUCUACCAUCCAUGCCAUGUAUAAUAUAAUACUGUUACUUCUAUUUUCCAGUAAGUCCUUCUGCAGCUUCCAAUCAAAGCUUAUUCUAUAGGAGCUCUUUCUCCUCUUCCCUUACUCCUGGCUUGAAUGACUUCACUCUACAUCCUCCCACAAGGUCCAGUGCUAGCAAUAAUCGGCAGCAACAGGAAACCC
RNA transcript from Sphaerodactylus townsendi, 1283 nucleotides. It is a transcript of the gene named RING finger protein 212B-like, with no coding region annotated. The record is from RefSeq and is a predicted model, not a curated record. NCBI's taxonomy places the organism in Eukaryota, Metazoa, Chordata, Lepidosauria, Squamata, Sphaerodactylidae. The transcript is spliced from 10 exons.